UGGGGAUUAUUGCGCAAUGGGGGCAACCCUGACGCAACAACGCCUCGUGCGGGACGACGUCCUUCGGGUUGUAAACCGCUUUCAGCAGGGCAGAUAGUGACGGUACCUGCACAAGAAGCCCCGGCUAACUACGUGCCAGCACCCGCGGUAAUACGUAGGGGGCGAGCGUUAUCCGGAUUCAUUGGGCGUAAAGUGCGCGCAGGCGGCUCUUCAAUCGGAACCUCUAACCCCGGGGCUCAACCUCGAGCCGGGUUCCGAAUUGGAGGGCUGUAGUGCGGUAGAGGAAGGCGUAAUACGCGGUGUAGCGGGGGAAUGCGCAGAUAUCAGGAAGAACACCGAUGGCGAAGGCAGACUGCUGGGCGGGCACUGACGCUGAGGCGCGAAAGCUAGGGGAGCGAACAGG
RNAcentral lists this ribosomal RNA (403 nucleotides) under Verrucomicrobiota bacterium. Its description in RNAcentral is "Verrucomicrobia bacterium partial 16S ribosomal RNA". It matches the Rfam family "Bacterial small subunit ribosomal RNA", at positions 355 to 776 of the family's 1533-position model. The record is from RNAcentral. Lineage: Bacteria; Pseudomonadati; Verrucomicrobiota.